This 69-nucleotide transfer RNA is filed under the name Heterocephalus glaber (naked mole-rat). It matches the Rfam family "tRNA". Rfam says of the family: Transfer RNA (tRNA) molecules are approximately 80 nucleotides in length. Their secondary structure includes four short double-helical elements and three loops (D, anti-codon, and T loops). The record is from Rfam by way of RNAcentral. Lineage: Eukaryota; Metazoa; Chordata; Mammalia; Rodentia; Bathyergidae.
GGGAAUGUAGCUCAGUGGUAGAGCACUUGCUUAGCAUGUGUGAGGCUGUGGGUUCAAUCCCCAGUCCCC